GUGCCAGCCGCCGCGGUAAUACGAAGGUGGCAAGCGUUACUCGGAAUUACUAGGCGUAAAGGGCAGGUAGGCGGUUUGACAAGUCUGUUGUGGAAGCUCCCGGCUUAACUGGGAGAGGUCAACGGAAACUGUCAGGCUUGAGUGUAGGAGAGGGUACUGGAAUUCCCGGUGUAGCGGUGAAAUGCGCAGAGAUCGGGAGGAACACCAACGGCGAAAGCAGGUACCUGGACUAUUACUGACGCUCAGCUGCGAAAGCUAGGGGAGCAAACAGGAUUAGAUACCCGUGUAGUCC
RNAcentral lists this ribosomal RNA (292 nucleotides) under uncultured bacterium. Its description in RNAcentral is "partial 16S ribosomal RNA". It matches the Rfam family "Bacterial small subunit ribosomal RNA", at positions 505 to 796 of the family's 1533-position model. The record is from RNAcentral.